Molecule: long non-coding RNA, 640 nt
Filed under: Homo sapiens (human)
Lineage: Eukaryota; Metazoa; Chordata; Mammalia; Primates; Hominidae
Description: long non-coding RNA NONHSAT152308.1
Source: RNAcentral
GUACUAAGGAAGGCGCACAGCCCGCCGCGCUCGCCUCUCCGCCCCGCGUCCAGCUCGCCCAGCUCGCCCAGCGUCCGCCGCGCCUCGGCCAAGGCUUCAACGGACCACACCAAAAUGCCAUCUCAAAUGGAACACGCCAUGGAAACCAUGAUGUUUACAUUUCACAAAUUCGCUGGGGAUAAAGGCUACUUAACAAAGGAGGACCUGAGAGUACUCAUGGAAAAGGAGUUCCCUGGAUUUUUGGAAGUAAGUACCCUCUGGCUGUGGACAAAAUAAUGAAGGACCUGGACCAGUGUAGAGAUGGCAAAGUGGGCUUCCAGAGCUUCUUUUCCCUAAUUGCGGGCCUCACCAUUGCAUGCAAUGACUAUUUUGUAGUACACAUGAAGCAGAAGGGAAAGAAGUAGGCAGAAAUGAGCAGUUCGCUCCUCCCUGAUAAGAGUUGUCCCAAAGGGUCGCUUAAGGAAUCUGCCCCACAGCUUCCCCCAUAGAAGGAUUUCAUGAGCAGAUCAGGACACUUAGCAAAUGUAAAAAUAAAAUCUAACUCUCAUUUGACAAGCAGAGAAAGAAAAGUUAAAUACCAGAUAAGCUUUUGAUUUUUGUAUUGUUUGCAUCCCCUUGCCCUCAAUAAAUAAAGUUCUUU